RNAcentral lists this ribosomal RNA (497 nucleotides) under uncultured bacterium. RNAcentral's name for it is "partial 16S ribosomal RNA". It matches the Rfam family "Bacterial small subunit ribosomal RNA", at positions 28 to 507 of the family's 1533-position model. The record is from RNAcentral.
GAUGAACGCUGGCGGCGUGCCUAAUACAUGCAAGUCGAGCGAACAGACGAGGAGCUUGCUCCUCUGACGUUAGCGGCGGACGGGUGAGUAACACGUGGAUAACCUACCUAUAAGACUGGGAUAACUUCGGGAAACCGGAGCUAAUACCGGAUAAUAUAUUGAACCGCAUGGUUCAUUAUUAAAAGCGGGUUUGCCUGUCACUAUUGGUGGAUUCCGCGCCGAUUUAGUUAGUUGGUAAGGUAACGGCUUACCAAGGCAACGAUGCGUAGCCGACCUGAGAGGGUGAUCGGCCACACUGGAACUGAGACACGGUCCAGACUCCUACGGGAGGCAGCAGUAGGGAAUCUUCCGCAAUGGGCGAAAGCCUGACGGAGCAACGCCGCGUGAGUGAUGAAGGUCUUCGGAUCGUAAAACUCUGUUAUUAGGGAAGAACAAAUGUGUAAGUAACUAUGCACGUCUUGACGGUACCUAAUCAGAAAGCCACGGCUAACUACGUG